This 473-nucleotide ribosomal RNA is filed under the name uncultured bacterium. RNAcentral describes it as "bacterial SSU rRNA". It matches the Rfam family "Bacterial small subunit ribosomal RNA", at positions 328 to 793 of the family's 1533-position model. The record is from RNAcentral.
GCAUAGCACUCCUACGGGAGGCAGCAGUGGGGAAUAUUGCACAAUGGGCGCAAGCCUGAUGCAGCCAUGCCGCGUGUAUGAAGAAGGCCUUACGGGUUGUAAAGUACUUUCAGCAGUGAGGAAGGUGGGUAUGUUAAUAGCAUACUCAUUUGACGUUAGCUGCAGAAGAAGCACCGGCUAACUCCGUGCCAGCAGCCGCGGUAAUACGGAGGGUGCGAGCGUUAAUCGGAAUUACUGGGCGUAAAGCGCAUGCAGGUGGUUUGUUAAGUCAGAUGUGAAAGCCCGGGGCUCAACCUCGGAAUUGCAUUUGAAACUGGCAAACUAGAGUACUGUAGAGGGGGUAGAAUUUCAGGUGUAGCGGUGAAAUGCGUAGAGAUCUGAAGGAAUACCGGUGGCGAAGGCGGCCCCCUGGACAGAUACUGACACUCAGAUGCGAAAGCGUGGGGAGCAAACAGGAUUAGAUACCCUGGUAG